This 400-nucleotide ribosomal RNA is filed under the name uncultured bacterium. Its description in RNAcentral is "bacterial SSU rRNA". It matches the Rfam family "Bacterial small subunit ribosomal RNA", at positions 355 to 772 of the family's 1533-position model. The record is from RNAcentral.
UGGGGAAUAUUGGACAAUGGGCGAAAGCCUGAUCCAGCAAUACCGCGUGAAUGAUGAAGGCCUUAGGGUUGUAAAGUUCUUUUAGUUGGAAAGAUAAUGACGGUACCAACAGAAAAAGCCCCGGCUAACUCCGUGCCAGCAGCCGCGGUAAGACGGAGGGGGCUAGCGUUGUUCGGAAUUACUGGGCGUAAAGGGCGCGUAGGCGGAUUAGUAAGUUGGGAGUGAAAGCCCGGGGCUUAACCUCGGAACUGCUUUCAAAACUGCUAGUCUUGAGUGAAGUAGGGGAUGAUGGAAUUCCUAGUGUAGAGGUGAAAUUCUUAGAUAUUAGGAGGAACACCGGUGGCGAAGGCGGUCAUCUGGACUUCAACUGACGCUGAGGCGCGAAAGCGUGGGGAGCAAA